GCUGGGCUCAGUGGUAGUGUACUUGCCUGAUAUGUGUGAGAAACUGGGUUCAAUUCUCAGCACAGCA
This 67-nucleotide transfer RNA is filed under the name Marmota monax (woodchuck). RNAcentral describes it as "tRNA.Ile". The record is from RNAcentral. Lineage: Eukaryota; Metazoa; Chordata; Mammalia; Rodentia; Sciuridae.